RNAcentral lists this transfer RNA (80 nucleotides) under Bos taurus (domestic cattle). It matches the Rfam family "tRNA". From Rfam's summary of the family: Transfer RNA (tRNA) molecules are approximately 80 nucleotides in length. Their secondary structure includes four short double-helical elements and three loops (D, anti-codon, and T loops). The record is from Rfam by way of RNAcentral. RNAcentral also lists the same sequence under 2 other names. Lineage: Eukaryota; Metazoa; Chordata; Mammalia; Artiodactyla; Bovidae.
UCCCUGGUAGCUCAGAGGUAAAGAAACUGCCUGCAAUGCAGGAGCGGCAGAAAUCUCAGGUUUGAUCCCUGAGUAGGGAA